Molecule: long non-coding RNA, 889 nt
Organism: Ahaetulla prasina
Lineage: Eukaryota; Metazoa; Chordata; Lepidosauria; Squamata; Colubridae
Exons: 3
Source: RefSeq, a predicted model, not a curated record
CAAUUUGUCCCACACUGAUCUAAAUGAUUUUUUCUUUCCUCCAGCAGAUGUCUUUCCAGUUCACAAUUACUUCUGCAACAAAAUCCAUCAUGAUGGACGUCUGCCUCAAUAAUGGUCCGGCUGAAGCCCAUUAGCUGCCAUUAAGUAUAGACAACUCUGAGUCACACUAGCGGUCUGCUUCAUGUUAAGAGGAUUUCUAUAUUAUGAAGGAAAAGGAAGCCUGACAGAUACCUUUAUGCAUACAUAAGAAAGCUUGGUGUUAUCUGCAAAUGUUAUGAGUUCCACUUCUAACCCUCAUCAAAGAUCAUUUAUGAAGAUGUUGCAGAGCAUUGGACUCAAGACAGAAUUUUGAGCACGUACAUAGAGUCCUGGAAAUUUUGGUCUGCCACAGCCAACACCAGAACUGGUGAUUCCUAUUAAAUAAUAUUUGUUUGCAUCUGGGAAAUAGCACACCAGAGGACCACCACUGUCUCCCUACAAUAUGAAAAAUAAAGAUAAGACAAGUUAAGUGUUGCUUUAUUGCUAUGUUGAAGAUUCGGCAUAUAAUCCUAUUUGUCUGAGUUAUACUUGCCAUGACAUAUGAAAUGAAAAUAUUGAUCAUUUGGAAAUCUGAAUAUCCUGAAGGGGAAAUAUUUGCUUUUGUUGGACCACAAGAUUUAAAAUUAAAUUACUUUAAAUAUACAUACAUUGAUAUUUUGAUUGGGUAAAUUGCAGAUUAUUUAUUGAUAAAAUGCAUUUCAUUUAUAAGAUCAAGGCAGAAUACAUAGCAGUCUCUCCUAUUUUUCCCAUGACAGCCUUCUGAAGUAGAUUUUACAAAUACUGAGUAGAAUAAAAUGGCCCAGUGAGUUUCCAUGGUUGAAGGCAAUCUGGAACUUGGGUCUCCCUAGUG